ACUAAGUUGGCAGAUAAAGUGCGGGUAAUUUAGGAUUACCACAUAAGAUAAAACUUAUUUAGUA
Molecule: transfer RNA, 64 nt
Filed under: Linognathus africanus
Lineage: Eukaryota; Metazoa; Arthropoda; Insecta; Psocodea; Linognathidae
Description: tRNA-Leu
Source: RNAcentral